This is a small nuclear RNA of Microtus ochrogaster (prairie vole), 108 nucleotides long. NCBI's taxonomy places the organism in Eukaryota, Metazoa, Chordata, Mammalia, Rodentia, Cricetidae. The record is from Ensembl.
GUGCUCGCUUCAGCAGCACAUAUACUAAGAAUUAGAACAAUACAGAGAAGAUUAGCAUGGCCCCAGUGCAAGGAUGACAAGCAAAUUCUUGGAGCAUCCCAAAUUCUU